GCAGCAGCCACGGUAAUACAGAGGGUGCGAGCGUUAAUCGGAUUUACUGGGCGUAAAGCGUGCGUAGGCGGCUUCUUAAGUCGGAUGUGAAAUCCCUGAGCUUAACUUAGGAAUUGCAUUCGAUACUGGGAAGCUAGAGUAUGGGAGAGGAUGGUAGAAUUCCAGGUGUAGCGGUGAAAUGCGUAGAGAUCUGGAGGAAUACCGAUGGCGAAGGCAGCCAUCUGGCCUAAUACUGACGCUGAGGUACGAAAGCAUGGGGAGCAAACAGGAUUAGAUACCCGCGUAGUCCCUGUCUCUUAUAC
This 302-nucleotide ribosomal RNA is filed under the name uncultured bacterium. RNAcentral's name for it is "partial 16S ribosomal RNA". It matches the Rfam family "Bacterial small subunit ribosomal RNA", at positions 508 to 807 of the family's 1533-position model. The record is from RNAcentral.